This 252-nucleotide ribosomal RNA is filed under the name uncultured bacterium. Its description in RNAcentral is "partial 16S ribosomal RNA". It matches the Rfam family "Bacterial small subunit ribosomal RNA", at positions 524 to 776 of the family's 1533-position model. The record is from RNAcentral.
UACGAAGGGGGCUAGCGUUGCUCGGAAUGACUGGGCGUAAAGGGCGCGUAGGCGGAUGGCACAGUCAGAUGUGAAAUUCCCGGGCUUAACCUGGGGCUGCAUUUGAUACGUGUUGUCUAGAGUGAGGAAGAGGGUUGUGGAAUUCCCAGUGUAGAGGUGAAAUUCGUAGAUAUUGGGAAGAACACCGGUGGCGAAGGCGGCAACCUGGUCCUUGACUGACGCUGAGGCGCGAAAGCGUGGGGAGCAACCAGG